GUACUGCUGAAGAGUCCCAAACUAGGACGAAACAGCUAUCCAGUAA
RNAcentral lists this non-coding RNA (46 nucleotides) under Trichobilharzia regenti. Lineage: Eukaryota; Metazoa; Platyhelminthes; Trematoda; Strigeidida; Schistosomatidae. The record is from RNAcentral.